CCUAGGGAGUGGACGAGACCUGCCUAGGUCACAGCAUCCAAUAAAUAAGACUCUGAAAUGGAAUCAGGGCACUGUGGGGCUCAGCUGCAGCAGGGCUGUUCACACAGCUCCGCAGCCCCUGAAUAGAGUGUAUAGUCUGAGGGCUGUGCUCCCUUCAGAUCACAUGCCACCCACCUCCCCUCCUUUUCCCCUUUGGUAGGAUUCUUCCUUCUGAGUGAGCAGCUGCUGUUGGGCUAAAUGAGACCUGGUCUUCCGUCCGUGCUCGCUAUGGAGUAAAUGCCUCCUGGAGAAAGCAGAGGUGGGCAACAAACCUGAAAGCAGAGUUGUCAGGUGUGAGAGAAACGAGCAGAACCAGCCUCAUGACCAAGGUCACCCAACAACAUCACAAGACGAUGACAUCACCAUCAGCUCUGGCCCAGAGCUCAAAUAACGGAGGGAAAGGNCAGGUCAUCCUCACCGCAGGGUGACAGAGCUGGUGCCAGGCCUCUGCCAACUAUCAGGGCCCAGGAGUGUUGCUGAAAGCUACCCAGGAGCAGCUCAUCCCUGCCUCUGCUCAGCCAGCACUCUCACAAGCUCAGAACAGUAGAGUCUCACCAACAGGGGUCCCCACCCCCCACCUUUUCCUAGAAGCAAGGUUAGCAACUGCCAGAGUCAAAAUAGAUGUGGAGAGAAUUGUGUGGCAAGACUCCGGUUUAGUUCAAGCACACUGGAUUGCACGAUGUCCUUGGAGGGCAGAGCUGUUGGAACUGCCAUUGCAGGAGGAAUCAAAGCAGCCAGCCUUGCUCUUCGGGCUGAUGUUUCUGCCAUGCGGCAUGUCAAGCAAUCAUGUCUUUGGAGCCCAGAUGCCCUGCUUUGUAGGGUCUCCUCCCGCCAGAAUGUAAACUUCCGAAGCGUGGAGAAUGUCUCCAUCUGAUGCGUCCUUCAGACCGCAGGCGCCUCAUGGAUACAUGUGGAACGAUAAAUGAUGAACCCGUUUCCCCAUCUGCAGGACAAACAGCUCCGGGUCCAACAGCCAGGCUCUUUCCUGGUCUGACAAUGAAAUGAAGAAUCUGAGGAUGUGAGUGCUUCCGUGGAGUCCCGGGGACCUCUCUAUGCUGCCUGGGCAGAGGUCAAGUUCAGUAGCUCCUCCUGCCUUAGCCUCCAAGCACACAUAGGCACAUGCCACCAUGCCUGGCUUGGGCCUCCGCUUUAACUUCUUCCUUUCUCAUAUAACCCUCUCCCUGCUCCUACAACCCCGCUGACAACGUUGAAUUCAGUUCAUUCGAUGAGCUGAUAGGUACUGAGCACCUACCUAUUGAGCACUGGGAACCCAGGGUCUGCUCCCUAAGGAGCUUGGCACGUUAGCAGGAGCUUGGCUGAGAAACACUAGGACUUAGUUGCUUAACUGGCUAGCAUCACGUAGCAAAUACACAGCUGAGCUGGGAAGCUCCUCGGCUCUCUACACUGCAGGUGAGAUGCUACCCCAAAGACAAGAAGCGGUGGAGCAGAGUGUGCUCUAGUGCCAGGUGGCUCCCUUCAGAGCUUACAAGCCCACCAGUGUCCCACGACCUCAGCCUUCUGGCAGAGAGGGAACGUGCGGGAUCUCGGCUCUUCUGGUUGUGUUUCUCAUUACUCCACAGCCUUCAGGUCCCGUUUUCUUUAGAUAAACCCGAGACUGCUCUGCUUGAGCAACGGUCAAGUUCAACUCAAGAAGUAAUCUAAGUUGGAGAUACAAUCAAAUAACCUUGGCAGGGGGGAAAAACCCAACAACAAAAAAAAAAGGAAAAACAAAGUAACAAAACAAAAACCCACUUCAAAAAAAAAGUCUCCGGAAGAAACUGAGCAUGAAGAAUUGAAACAAUGUAAGAGAACAGGACAUUUCUUAAAAAGAUGUUUUAUUUCUCUUC
Long non-coding RNA from Mus caroli (Ryukyu mouse), 1886 nucleotides. RefSeq lists it as uncharacterized. The record is from RefSeq and is a predicted model, not a curated record. NCBI's taxonomy places the organism in Eukaryota, Metazoa, Chordata, Mammalia, Rodentia, Muridae.